This 492-nucleotide ribosomal RNA is filed under the name uncultured Acholeplasma sp. RNAcentral describes it as "bacterial SSU rRNA". It matches the Rfam family "Bacterial small subunit ribosomal RNA", at positions 903 to 1382 of the family's 1533-position model. The record is from RNAcentral. Lineage: Bacteria; Bacillati; Mycoplasmatota; Mollicutes; Acholeplasmatales; Acholeplasmataceae.
GCCAGCCCGCUCAGAAACUUAAAUGAAUUGACGGGACCCGCACAAGCGGUGGAUCAUGUUGUUUAAUUCGAUGAUACGCGAAGAACCUUACCAGGUCUUGACAUCCCCCGCGAUGCUUUAGAGAUAAAGCGGAGGUAUUCGGGAGACAGGUGGUGCAUGGUUGUCGUCAGCUCGUGUCGUGAGAUGUUGGGUUAAGUCCCGCAACGAGCGCAACCCCUAUUGCUAGUUACCAUCAUUAAGUUGGGGACUCUAGCGAGACUGCCAGUGAUAAACUGGAGGAAGGUGGGGAUGACGUCAAAUCAUCAUGCCCCUUAUGACCUGGGCUACAAACGUGAUACAAUGGCUGGAACAAAGGGAUGCGAAGCAGUGAUGUGGAGCGAAACCCAUAAAAACAGUCUCAGUUCGGAUUGAAGUCUGCAACUCGACUUCAUGAAGUCGGAAUCGCUAGUAAUCGCGGAUCAGAACGCCGCGGUGAAUACGUUCUCGGGGUUU